Molecule: unclassified non-coding RNA, 209 nt
Filed under: soil metagenome
Description: partial contains 5.8S ribosomal RNA, internal transcribed spacer 2, and large subunit ribosomal RNA
Source: RNAcentral
AACCUAGCACACCUGCGGUGUGUACCUGCGGAAGGAUCAUUACCGAGUUUACAACUCCCAAACCCCUGUGAACAUACCUAUACGUUGCCUCGGCGGAUCAGCCCGCGCCCUGUAAAACGGGACGGCCCGCCCGAGGACCCUAAACUCUGUUUUUAGUGGAACUUCUGAGUAAAACAAACAAAUAAAUCAAAACUUUCAACAACGGAUCU